RNAcentral lists this ribosomal RNA (458 nucleotides) under uncultured bacterium. RNAcentral's name for it is "partial 16S ribosomal RNA". It matches the Rfam family "Bacterial small subunit ribosomal RNA", at positions 338 to 795 of the family's 1533-position model. The record is from RNAcentral.
CCUACGGGUGGCUGCAGUGGGGAAUAUUGCACAAUGGGGGAAACCCUGAUGCAGCGACGCCGCGUGAGUGAAGAAGUAAUUCGUUACGUAAAGCUCUAUCAGCAGGGAAGAAAUACUGACCUUACGGUCAGCAGACGGUACCUGAGUAAGAAGCACCGGCUAACUACGUGCCAGCAGCCGCGGUAAUCCGUAGGGGGCAAGCGUUAUCCGGAUUUACUGGUUGUAAAGGGAGCGUAGACGGUGCGCCAAGUCUGGAGUGAAAUGCCGCAGCUUAACUGCGGAACUGCUUUGGAAACUGGCGAACUAGAGUGCGGGAGGGGUAAGCGGAAUUCCUAGUGUAGCGGUGAAAUGCGUAGAUAUUAGGAGGAACACCGGUGGCGAAGGCGGCUUACUGGACCGUAACUGACGUUGAGGCUCGAAAGCGUGGGGAGCAAACAGGAUUAGAUACCCGGGUAGUC